CAGUCGCCGCGGUAAUGCGUAGGUGGCAAGCGUUGUCCGGAAUUAUUGGGCGUAAAGGGCUUGCAGGCGGUUUCUUGAGUCUGAUGUGAAAGCCCCCGGCUCAACCGGGGAGGGUCAUUGGAAACUGGGCAACUUGAGUGCAGAAGAGGAGAGUGGAAUUCCACGUGUAGCGGUGAAAUGCGUAGAGAUGUGGAGGAACACCAGUGGCGAAGGCGACCCUCUGGUCUGUAACUGACGCUGAGGAGCGAAAGCGUGGGGAGCGAACAGGAUUAGAUACCCCUGUAGUCCCUGUCUCUUAUAC
This 301-nucleotide ribosomal RNA is filed under the name uncultured bacterium. RNAcentral's name for it is "partial 16S ribosomal RNA". It matches the Rfam family "Bacterial small subunit ribosomal RNA", at positions 509 to 807 of the family's 1533-position model. The record is from RNAcentral.